GACGAACGCUGGCGGCGUGCUUAACACAUGCAAGUCGAACGAAAAUACCAAGCUUGCUUGGUUGAUUAGUGGCGAACGGGUGAGUAACACGUGAGUAACCUGCCCCUUACUUUCCUGGAUAACUGCUCGAAAGGGUAGCUAAUACGGGAUAUUCUGACCAGCCUGCAUGGGUUGGUUUGGAAAGGUUGUUUUUCUGGUAAGGGAUGGGCUCGCGGCCUAUCAGCUUGUUGGUGGGGUGAUGGCCUACCAAGGCUUUGACGGGUAGCCGGCCUGAGAGGGUGGACGGUCACACUGGGACUGAGAUACGGCCCAGACUCCUACGGGAGGCAGCAGUGGGGAAUAUUGCACAAGGGGCGCAAGCCUGAUGCAGCGACGCCGCGUGAGGGAGGAAGGCCUUCGGGUUGUAAACCUCUUUCGUCAGGGAACAAGGCACUGCUUUUGUGGUGGUGUUGAGGGUACCUGGAUAAGAAGCGCCGGCUAACUACGUG
This 488-nucleotide ribosomal RNA is filed under the name uncultured bacterium. RNAcentral's name for it is "partial 16S ribosomal RNA". It matches the Rfam family "Bacterial small subunit ribosomal RNA", at positions 28 to 507 of the family's 1533-position model. The record is from RNAcentral.